RNAcentral lists this ribosomal RNA (247 nucleotides) under Escherichia coli. RNAcentral's name for it is "partial 23S ribosomal RNA". It matches the Rfam family "Bacterial large subunit ribosomal RNA", at positions 948 to 1194 of the family's 2925-position model. The record is from RNAcentral. Lineage: Bacteria; Pseudomonadati; Pseudomonadota; Gammaproteobacteria; Enterobacterales; Enterobacteriaceae.
UGCAAACUGCGAAUACCGGAGAAUGUUAUCACGGGAGACACACGGCGGGUGCUAACGUCCGUCGUGAAGAGGGAAACAACCCAGACCGCCAGCUAAGGUCCCAAAGUCAUGGUUAAGUGGGAAACGAUGUGGGAAGGCCCAGACAGCCAGGAUGUUGGCUUAGAAGCAGCCAUCAUUUAAAGAAAGCGUAAUAGCUCACUGGUCGAGUCGGCCUGCGCGGAAGAUGUAACGGGGCUAAACCAUGCAC